AGAGUUUGAUCCUGGCUCAGAACGAACGCUGGCGGCGUGUCUUAAGCAUGCAAGUCGUGCGGCAAGGGGUAGCAAUACCCCCUAGAGCGGCGGACCGGUGAGUAACGCGUGGGUGAUCAGCCUUUGGGAUGGGGAUAGCCAUCAGAAAUAGUGGGUAAUACCGAAUACGUUCGCUAAGCUGCGGCUUUGCGAGGAAAAGCGCUCCGGCGCUGCCCGAAGGUGAGCCCGCGUCCCAUUAGCUAGUUGGUGAGGUAAUGGCCCACCAAGGCGAUGAUGGGUAGCCGGCCUGAGAGGGUGUACGGCCACACUGGGACUGAGAUACGGCCCAGACUCCUACGGGAGGCAGCAGCUAAGAAUAUUCCGCAAUGGACGAAAGUCUGACGGAGCGACGCCGCGUGGAUGACGAAGGCCGAAAGGUUGUAAAGUCCUUUUGUUGGGGAAGAAUAACCAUGGGAGGGAAUGCCCGUGGGAUGACAUGAACCGACGAAUAAGCCCCGGCUAACUACGUGCCAGCAGCCGCGGUAACACGUAGGGGGCAAGCGUUGUUCGGAAUUACUGGGCGUAAAGGGCAUGUAGGCGGCUUUGUAAGCCCGGCGUGGAAGCCCACGGCUCAACCGUGGGAUUGCGUUGGGAACUGCGAGGCUUGAAUCAUGGAGAGGGAGCUAGAAUUCCUGGUGUAGGGGUGAAAUCUGUAGAGAUCAGGAAGAAUACCAGUGGCGAAGGCGAGCUCCUGGCCAAUGAUUGACGCUGAGGUGCGAAAGUGUGGGGAUCAAACAGGAUUAGAUACCCUGGUAGUCC
Molecule: ribosomal RNA, 798 nt
Filed under: uncultured bacterium
Lineage: Bacteria
Description: bacterial SSU rRNA
Rfam family: Bacterial small subunit ribosomal RNA
Source: RNAcentral